This is an RNA transcript of Scylla paramamosain (green mud crab), 2085 nucleotides long. It is a transcript of the gene named transcription factor A, mitochondrial-like, with no coding region annotated. Lineage: Eukaryota; Metazoa; Arthropoda; Malacostraca; Decapoda; Portunidae. The transcript is spliced from 7 exons. The record is from RefSeq and is a predicted model, not a curated record.
CCGUCGGCCUGCUGCUGCUGACGAUGAUUCCUGAUGCUGUAAACACUAAACAUGGCGUUGGCUCGGCUCUGCGUGGUCCACCAGUCCUUCCUCGGCAGGGCUUUAUUUAGACACGCAGAGGCCCCUGGAGUGCUGUCGGUGGCAUACAAACAGAGUGUGGCACAACAGCUUGGCCUGCCAGAGCCCCCCAAGCGUCCCCUUGCACCUCACGUUCGCUUCAUUAAGGACCGAAUUGAAGAAUUUAAUAAAAAGUAUCCCAACUUGACAAAUCAAGAGGUAUUUGCCAAAACCCUGGAUCACUGGAAAUCUCUCAAUUCUUUGGAGAAAAGUAAAUGGACUUCUGAAUAUAAUAGAGAAAGAGAAGUUUAUAAUGCAGUAUAUAAAGCAUAUGUUCAGAAGCUGAGCCCAUCUCAGCUGGAGAGCAUAAAGGCACUGAAGAGAAAACGUUCUGAGGACAAGGCAAAGCGAACAUCGAGACGAGAUAAGAAAAGAGAGAGUGAGGAUCUGGGCAAACCUAAGUACCCGGGCAAUGCUUUCUUUCUCUACAUAUCCACACUUCAACGGGGAGAUUCAACUGGAAAGGAGUUUGUAAAAGAAGCAGCCCAAAGCUGGCACUCAUUGCCAGAAAGAAAACAGCAAGUGUACCGAGAAAAGGCCAAGAAGAUGCUGGAGGAAUACCAUGAGGAGCUGCUUCAGUGGGAGGCAAAAAUGGUGCAGAAAGGGAGGUUAGACCUUGUGCGGACAAACCAACUUGGAGGAGAGCUUCGGGAUGGGAUCCGAGGACGUAAAAAGCAAAAUUAGGGACUCGCCUCAGGUGGUGGUGAGAGGGAGGCUGACCCAUCUUGGCCGUCGGUGGAGAGGGAGAGGCAUGGUGUGUCAUUAGAGUUAGGCAGGGCAAACUCUACUAAAGUUCAAGGAAAAGGAAAGAAAAAUAAAGAUCUGUCAUCAUUACCAUCAUCUCUUCACCUGACACCCAAUGUAGGUCAGAAGAGAAGGCCCAAAAAACAAAAAAAGAAUGAUAAAAGACAGACUGGUGUAACUACAACUCAAGUAGGUGAAGAUGGAUCUGGUGUUGAUAGAUAUUUAUUGCCAAGUAGAAGGAAAGUAAGGAACAAAAGUGAAGUAACAGAUCAUUCUUCACUUCAUGUAGUUCCCACACUAUCACCUGAUGAAAUUUCACCGAGUAGUCUUUACAGAGAUAUUUCUCAGUUCAGAGAAAUUAGGUACCUUAAUUUGUUUUGCUGGAUAAGAUCAGUGUAUGAUUAUAAAAGAUUUUGUUCACUAUUAACUGAAUUGGAAGUUAAAGAGCUUGCAUCAGUGUAUCAUAAAAAAUAUUUGGUCAUUUCACAUGUAAGAAUUUCAAAAAGUACACUGAAAGAAAGCAGUAUUGGUGUAAAAGGUGAAUAUAAUUUAUUGGACAAAGAAAAUGAAGGUGCAAGUAUAUUGGAAGCCAGUGUAGUCAAUGGACAGUGGCCUGUCAUUGCGGAUGUUCAUCGUGAUGACUCGCUGGAUCCUGAUGUGUCAAGACAGUUUUCAGAGUCUGUCUCCACCUUGGCUCACCUUCCAGAUAACUCCUUUCUUAAUAAUGAAGGGAUAAUGCAAGAACAAACUGAGAACUCAUAUUUAUGUUAUCACUCACAGGUCUGGCUGUGAAAACCAGGUAAGUAUUGGGUCAUGAAUGUAUGAAAGAAUAGCAGAGUUCUAGUUUUGUGAAUUAAGUAAAAAUAAUGUUUUGUACUGAAUGAAACCUUGUACAUAUUUAUUAAUCAAGAAAUCAAUUAGUUUUAACUGGAUUAUUGUGUCAAUACCUCUGCGAGCUUAGCCAUCAGCUAGCUUUGAGCCCAGCCUUGACCUGCAUGGUGGAGUUUCAUGUGUUGACUCUACUGGACAGCAGCAACCUUCAGAAAGUAUCAAACUGUUGUGGUGCUGCGUUGUGUUCCCUUGGACUGCUUUGAGUUAUGAUAAAUCUGUAUGACUUCCAUAUCCUAACUAAGAAAAGACUGGCACAUUUACCUCAUGGUGUGGUAACCAGUCUGGUGCAGAGAUAAACAUGUUUAGCUGUAUGCUUGAUGAAGGGAUCAUGAU